CGCACCUUGCGCCUCUUGGUAUUCCGAGAGGCAUGCCUGUUUGAGUGUCAUGAAACAUCAAUCCCCGAGGGUUUUCUGAACCAUUGGCGGACUUGGACCUGGGCGUCUGCCUCACAAGGCUCGCCUCAAAUGACUUAGUGGGAACUUCUCGACCUACGCCUGACGUGAUAAGUUUCGUCUCGGCCGGUCCUGAGGCCCGCUCAGAACAACCCAUAUCUUUUGACAUUGACCUCAAAUCAGGUAGGGCUACCCGCUGAACUUAA
This 263-nucleotide unclassified non-coding RNA is filed under the name Kockovaella schimae. RNAcentral describes it as "partial contains 5.8S ribosomal RNA, internal transcribed spacer 2, and large subunit ribosomal RNA". The record is from RNAcentral. Lineage: Eukaryota; Fungi; Basidiomycota; Tremellomycetes; Tremellales; Cuniculitremaceae.